GACAACGCUGGCGGCGUGCCUAACACAUGCAAGUCAACGGGGUAAUGACUUCGGUUAUUACUUAGUGGCGAACGGGUGAGUAACGCGUGAGGAACCUGCCUUUCAUGGGGGACAACAGUUGGAAACGACUGCUAAUACCGCAUAACGCAGCGAGACCGCAUGGUCUUGCUGUCAAAGCUUUAUGUGCUGAGAGAUGGCCUCGCGUCUGAUUAGCUAGUUGGCGGGGUAACGGCCCACCAAGGCGACGAUCAGUAGCCGGUCUGAGAGGAUGAACGGCCACAUUGGGACUGAGAUACGGCCCAGACUCCUACGGGAGGCAGCAGUGGGGAAUAUUGGGCAAUGGGGGAAACCCUGACCCAGCAACGCCGCGUGAAGGAAGAAGGCCUUCGGGUUGUAAACUUCUUUUACCAGGGACGAAGAACGUGACGGUACCUGGAGAAAAAGCCACGGCUAACUACGUG
Molecule: ribosomal RNA, 461 nt
Filed under: uncultured bacterium
Lineage: Bacteria
Description: bacterial SSU rRNA
Rfam family: Bacterial small subunit ribosomal RNA
Source: RNAcentral